This 253-nucleotide ribosomal RNA is filed under the name uncultured bacterium. RNAcentral's name for it is "partial 16S ribosomal RNA". It matches the Rfam family "Bacterial small subunit ribosomal RNA", at positions 524 to 776 of the family's 1533-position model. The record is from RNAcentral.
UACGUAGGGGGCUAGCGUUGUCCGGAAUCAUUGGGCGUAAAGAGCGUGUAGGCGGUCCGGUAAGUCCGCUGUGAAAGUCGGGGGCUCAACCCUCGAAUGCCGGUGGAUACUGGCGGGCUAGAGUGCGGAAGAGGCGAGUGGAAUUCCUGGUGUAGCGGUGAAAUGCGCAGAUAUCAGGAGGAACACCUAUUGCGAAGGCAGCUCGCUGGGACGUAACUGACGCUGAGGCGCGAAAGCGUGGGGAGCAAACAGG